UUCUAAACUAAACUACUC
This 18-nucleotide transfer RNA is filed under the name Luvarus imperialis (luvar). RNAcentral's name for it is "partial tRNA-Pro". Lineage: Eukaryota; Metazoa; Chordata; Actinopteri; Acanthuriformes; Luvaridae. The record is from RNAcentral.